AUACGUAGGGGGCAAGCGUUAUCCGGAUUUACUGGGUGUAAAGGGAGUGUAGGUGGUCUGGCAAGUCAGAUGUGAAAGCCCGCGGCUCAACUGCGGGACUGCAUUUGAAACUGUCAGACUGGAGUGCAGUAGAGGAAAGUGGAAUUCCUAGUGUAGCGGUGAAAUGCGUAGAUAUUAGGAAGAACACCAGUGGCGAAGGCGGCCUUCUGGACUGUAACUGACACUGAGGCUCGAAAGCGUGGGGAGCAAACAGGAUUAGAUGCCCUGGUAGUCCACGCCGUAAACGAUGAAUACUAGGUGUCGGGUGGCAAAGCCAUUCGGUGCCGCAGCUAGCGCAAUAAGUAUUCCACCUGGGGAGUACGUUCGCAAGAAUGAAACUCAAAUGAAUUGACGGGG
RNAcentral lists this ribosomal RNA (396 nucleotides) under uncultured bacterium. Its description in RNAcentral is "partial 16S ribosomal RNA". It matches the Rfam family "Bacterial small subunit ribosomal RNA", at positions 523 to 918 of the family's 1533-position model. The record is from RNAcentral.